UUUUUAUGGAGAGUUUGAUCCUGGCUCAGGACGAACGCUGGCGGCGUGCUUAACACAUGCAAGUGGGACGAAGGUUCUUGUCGGAAGGCUUCGGCUGGAAGAUAAGGAUACUGAGUCGCGGACGGGUGAGUAAUGCGUGAGAACCUGUCUCAAAGAGGGGGACAGCCCCGGGAAACCGGGAUUAAUACCCCAUAUGC
This 197-nucleotide ribosomal RNA is filed under the name Dethiosulfovibrio salsuginis. Its description in RNAcentral is "16S rRNA. Bacterial SSU". It matches the Rfam family "Bacterial small subunit ribosomal RNA", at positions 1 to 178 of the family's 1533-position model. The record is from RNAcentral. Lineage: Bacteria; Thermotogati; Synergistota; Synergistia; Synergistales; Dethiosulfovibrionaceae.